GUGCUCGUUUCGGCAGCACAUAUACUAAAAUUGGAACGAUAUAGAGAAGAUUAGCAUGGCCCCUGUGCAAGGAUGACAUGCAAAUUCAUGAAGCAUUCCAUAUUUUU
RNAcentral lists this small nuclear RNA (107 nucleotides) under Capra hircus (goat). The record is from RNAcentral. Lineage: Eukaryota; Metazoa; Chordata; Mammalia; Artiodactyla; Bovidae.